This 72-nucleotide transfer RNA is filed under the name Bos taurus (domestic cattle). It matches the Rfam family "tRNA". From Rfam's summary of the family: Transfer RNA (tRNA) molecules are approximately 80 nucleotides in length. Their secondary structure includes four short double-helical elements and three loops (D, anti-codon, and T loops). Lineage: Eukaryota; Metazoa; Chordata; Mammalia; Artiodactyla; Bovidae. RNAcentral also lists the same sequence under 4 other names. The record is from Rfam by way of RNAcentral.
UCCCUGGUGGCUCAGAUGGUAAAGAGUCUGCCUGCAAUGCAGGAGAUCCAGGUUUGAUUCCUGGGUUGGGAA